Molecule: non-coding RNA, 299 nt
Organism: Drosophila melanogaster (fruit fly)
Lineage: Eukaryota; Metazoa; Arthropoda; Insecta; Diptera; Drosophilidae
Source: Ensembl
GCCGGCACAUGGCAAUCGACAUCUCAGUCCCAGAGUCGUUUUAAAGUCAGAGUUUCCUCUUUUUUUUUUAGCCAGAGGGCAAUGUACACGCAAUGCAAUAAGUGGACGAUCUACGACUGCAAGUGGGUGCAAUGGCUUUUAAUGAGCUGGUAAAGUGGAUGUAGCUCAACUUUGCUUUUCCCAAUCGCCAUCUUUGGCUGGCUUACACCUGAUGUGGACUUAACACUUAGUUAAUAAUAGUGGAAGAAUACUGUACUAUAUUUAUGAAAGUAAAAUAAUCAAAAAUAAAAUGAAAAAAU